This 481-nucleotide ribosomal RNA is filed under the name uncultured bacterium. Its description in RNAcentral is "partial 16S ribosomal RNA". It matches the Rfam family "Bacterial small subunit ribosomal RNA", at positions 28 to 507 of the family's 1533-position model. The record is from RNAcentral.
GAUGAACGCUGGCGGCGUGCUUAACACAUGCAAGUCGAACGAAGCACUUUAUUUGAUUUCCUUCGGGACUGAUUAUUUUGUGACUGAGUGGCGGACGGGUGAGUAACGCGUGGGUAACCUGCCUUGUACAGGGGGAUAACAGUUGGAAACGGCUGCUAAUACCGCAUAAGCGCACAGCAUCGCAUGAUGCAGUGUGAAAAACUCCGGUGGUAUAAGAUGGACCCGCGUUGGAUUAGCUAGUUGGUGAGGUAACGGCCCACCAAGGCGACGAUCCAUAGCCGAGCUGAGAGGGUGACCGGCCACAUUGUGACUGAGACACGGCCCAAACUCCUACGGGAGGCAGCAGUGGGGAAUAUUGCACAAUGGGCGAAAGCCUGAUGCAGCGACGCCGCGUGAGCGAAGAAGUAUUUCGGUAUGUAAAGCUCUAUCAGCAGGGAAGAUAAUGACGGUACCUGACUAAGAAGCACCGGCUAAAUACGUG